This 2892-nucleotide ribosomal RNA is filed under the name Escherichia coli. RNAcentral describes it as "23S ribosomal RNA". It matches the Rfam family "Bacterial large subunit ribosomal RNA". The record is from RNAcentral. Lineage: Bacteria; Pseudomonadati; Pseudomonadota; Gammaproteobacteria; Enterobacterales; Enterobacteriaceae.
GGUUAAGCGACUAAGCGUACACGGUGGAUGCCCUGGCAGUCAGAGGCGAUGAAGGACGUGCUAAUCUGCGAUAAGCGUCGGUAAGGUGAUAUGAACCGUUAUAACCGGCGAUUUCCGAAUGGGGAAACCCAGUGUGUUUCGACACACUAUCAUUAACUGAAUCCAUAGGUUAAUGAGGCGAACCGGGGAACUGAAACAUCUAAGUACCCCGAGGAAAAGAAAUCAACCGAGAUUCCCCAGUAGCGGCGAGCGAACGGGAGGAGCCCAGAGCCUGAAUCAGUGUGUGUGUUAGUGGAAGCGUCUGGAAAGGCGCGCGAUACAGGGUGACAGCCCCGUACACAAAAAUGCACAUACUGUGAGCUCGAUGAGUAGGGCGGGACACGUGGUAUCCUGUCUGAAUAUGGGGGACCAUCCUCCAAGGCUAAAUACUCCUGACUGACCGAUAGUGAACCAGUACCGUGAGGGAAAGGCGAAAAGAACCCCGGCGAGGGGAGUGAAAAAGAACCUGAAACCGUGUACGUACAAGCAGUGGGAGCCUCUUUUAUGGGGUGACUGCGUACCUUUGUAUAAUGGGUCAGCGACUUAUAUUCUGUAGCAAGGUUAACCGAAUAGGGGAGCCGAAGGGAAACCGAGUCUUAACUGGGCGUUAAGUUGCAGGGUAUAGACCCGAAACCCGGUGAUCUAGCCAUGGGCAGGUUGAAGGUUGGGUAACACUAACUGGAGGACCGAACCGACUAAUGUUGAAAAAUUAGCGGAUGACUUGUGGCUGGGGUGAAAGGCCAAUCAAACCGGGAGAUAGCUGGUUCUCCCCGAAAGCUAUUUAGGUAGCGCCUCGUGAAUUCAUCUCCGGGGUAGAGCACUGUUUCGGCAAGGGGUCAUCCCGACUUACCAACCCGAUGCAAACUGCGAAUACCGGAGAAUGUUAUCACGGGAGACACACGGCGGGUGCUAACGUCCGUCGUGAAGAGGAAACAACCCAGACCGCCAGCUAAGGUCCCAAAGUCAUGGUUAAGUGGGAAACGAUGUGGGAAGGCCCAGACAGCCAGGAUGUUGGCUUAGAAGCAGCCAUCAUUUAAAGAAAGCGUAAUAGCUCACUGGUCGAGUCGGCCUGCGCGGAAGAUGUAACGGGGCUAAACCAUGCACCGAAGCUGCGGCAGCGACACUAUGUGUUGUUGGGUAGGGGAGCGUUCUGUAAGCCUGUGAAGGUGUGCUGUGAGGCAUGCUGGAGGUAUCAGAAGUGCGAAUGCUGACAUAAGUAACGAUAAAGCGGGUGAAAAGCCCGCUCGCCGGAAGACCAAGGGUUCCUGUCCAACGUUAAUCGGGGCAGGGUGAGUCGACCCUAAGGCGAGGCCGAAAGGCGUAGUCGAUGGGAAACAGGUUAAUAUUCCUGUACUUGGUGUUACUGCGAAGGGGGACGGAGAAGGCUAUGUUGGCCGGGCGACGGUUGUCCCGGUUUAAGCGUGUAGGCUGGUUUUCCAGGCAAAUCCGGAAAAUCAAGGCUGAGGCGUGAUGACGAGGCACUACGGUGCUGAAGCAACAAAUGCCCUGCUUCCAGGAAAAGCCUCUAAGCAUCAGGUAACAUCAAAUCGUACCCCAAACCGACACAGGUGGUCAGGUAGAGAAUACCAAGGCGCUUGAGAGAACUCGGGUGAAGGAACUAGGCAAAAUGGUGCCGUAACUUCGGGAGAAGGCACGCUGAUAUGUAGGUGAAGCGACUUGCUCGUGGAGCUGAAAUCAGUCGAAGAUACCAGCUGGCUGCAACUGUUUAUUAAAAACACAGCACUGUGCAAACACGAAAGUGGACGUAUACGGUGUGACGCCUGCCCGGUGCCGGAAGGUUAAUUGAUGGGGUUAGCGGUAACGCGAAGCUCUUGAUCGAAGCCCCGGUAAACGGCGUACGUAACUAUAACGGUCCUAAGGUAGCGAAAUUCCUUGUCGGGUAAGUUCCGACCUGCACGAAUGGCGUAAUGAUGGCCAGGCUGUCUCCACCCGAGACUCAGUGAAAUUGAACUCGCUGUGAAGAUGCAGUGUACCCGCGGCAAGACGGAAAGACCCCGUGAACCUUUACUAUAGCUUGACACUGAACAUUGAGCCUUGAUGUGUAGGAUAGGUGGGAGGCUUUGAAGUGUGGACGCCAGUCUGCAUGGAGCCGACCUUGAAAUACCACCCUUUAAUGUUUGAUGUUCUAACGUUGGCCCCUGAUCGGGGUUGCGGACAGUGUCUGGUGGGUAGUUUGACUGGGGCGGUCUCCUCCUAAAGAGUAACGGAGGAGCACGAAGGUUGGCUAAUCCUGGUCGGACAUCAGGAGGUUAGUGCAAUGGCAUAAGCCAGCUUGACUGCGAGCGUGACGGCGCGAGCAGGUGCGAAAGCAGGUCAUAGUGAUCCGGUGGUUCUGAAUGGAAGGGCCAUCGCUCAACGGAUAAAAGGUACUCCGGGGAUAACAGGCUGAUACCGCCCAAGAGUUCAUAUCGACGGCGGUGUUUGGCACCUCGAUGUCGGCUCAUCACAUCCUGGGGCUGAAGUAGGUCCCAAGGGUAUGGCUGUUCGCCAUUUAAAGUGGUACGCGAGCUGGGUUUAGAACGUCGUGAGACAGUUCGGUCCCUAUCUGCCGUGGGCGCUGGAGAACUGAGGGGCUGCUCCUAGUACGAGAGGACCGGAGUGGACGCAUCACUGGUGUUCGGGUUGUCAUGCCAAUGGCACUGCCCGGUAGCUAAAUGCGGAAGAGAUAAGUGCUGAAAGCAUCUAAGCACGAAACUUGCCCCGAGAUGAGUUCUCCCUGAGACUUUAAGUCUCCUGAAGGAACGUUGAAGACGACGACGUUGAUAGGCCGGGUGUGUAAGCGCAGCGAUGCGUUGAGCUAACCGGUACUAAUGAACCGUGAGGCUUAACCUU